UACGUAGUUGGCAAGCGUUAUCCGGAAUUAUUGGGCGUAAAGCGCGCGUAGGCGGUUUUUUAAGUCUGAUGUGAAGCCCACGGCUCAACCGUGGAGGGUCAUUGGAAACUGGAAAACUUGAGUGCAGAAGAGGAAAGUGGAAUUCCAUGUGUAGCGGUGAAAUGCGCAGAGAUAUGGAGGUACACCAGUGGCGUAGGCGACUUUCUGGUCUGUAACUGACGCUGAUGUGCGAAAGCGUGGGGAUCAAACAG
Molecule: ribosomal RNA, 251 nt
Filed under: uncultured Staphylococcus sp.
Lineage: Bacteria; Bacillati; Bacillota; Bacilli; Caryophanales; Staphylococcaceae
Description: partial 16S ribosomal RNA
Rfam family: Bacterial small subunit ribosomal RNA
Source: RNAcentral